UAUGUUUAUAGACAGGAGCUGUUUAUUUUGGUUUUCCACCCACAGGGCUGGGGAGAACUGCCUGUGGAGUCUCUCUGCUCAGUGUUGACACGGUGAGUGCAGCUGUCAGCUCCUGCCGCCGCGCACCCUCAGUCUGUCCUCCCGCCCGAGGCUCGCUCUCCACCAAUUAUUCCUGCUGCGAUUUACUGCACGCUACCCCCACCACAACGUGGAUUUGUUCACCCCCCCCCCCUGCUUUUUUUUGUUUUUAUUCGCUUGCUCCCUCGCCCUUGUUCCUCCGCUUAUUGCUUGCCCUGACAUCCUCCUCGCAUUGCCACAUCUGCUGUCGCCGACCUCCUCUCGUUCCGCAGCUGCUGAAUUGCCAUAUUAUUUUAUUCUCUUCCCUCCCUCCUUCUGCUACUCUUCCAAUCUGGGACUCGGUUCCACAAUGCACCCGCGCACAGACUUCCGCCCGCAGACUGCUUCGAGGUAGACACGGCCCUGACUGGGAGACCUUGGGAAUGGGGGGGUUGGUGGUGGGGGGCAGGAUUACUGCAGGAACGGUCUUCUGUACCACUUCUCCCCAACACACACACACCCGGGACUGGGAAACGGUGCACGAGCUGAGUAGGUGGUGGCAUUACCUGCUGCAGGAAAAGAAACGCAGCAACGCUUGUUGUGAGGAGGCACCAGAGUUGCUGCCAGACCUUCUGAGUUCUCCAGAACUUUUUUAAAAAUAAUCUGAUUACAUCACACAUCAAGAUCAGCAAGACCUCAUAAAAUGUUUGAAGUACAUAAGUCAAUACUCUGAAAAAUUAAAAUUAGCACUGCGAUACGCAGAAUAUAGCUUUAGGCACCUCAGCUUGAUGCUGCCAUUACUAUUGAGAACUUCAUUGUUUAUGACAUGGUGCUACCAUUUGAUGAAAGAUUUCAAGCAGACACAUUAAUUUCAGAUUUUUGCCCUGACAGAGAUCCUGUCUACCCUGGUGAAAAUGCCAUAAAACUGGAAUACCUGCCUCCUCAUGCACCAUUUCCAAUUUUUGUGGGGCCCAGUGUGUGUGAAUAAUCUGAUCUUUGUGCCUGCUGAGUUGCUGUUGCUGCUGUCUGGAACCUGGAGUAAGCAGAGCAGGCCAGUUUAGAGCAGUAAUGGUUAGUUUCCGAAAAAAAAUCAAACCUCUGCUGAAUGGAACAAAAACAGAAGUGCUGGAAAAGCUCAGCAGGUCUAGCAGGAUCUGUGAAGGAAAAAAUACAGAGUUAACGUUUCGGGUCUGGUAACACUUCCUCAGUGCUGAAUAGAUUGCUGAUGCAGUUACAGAUCAUCUGCACCAUGGGAGGAAUGAAGAUCACCAGCACCAGACAACAUUCAAGAAAACAAAAUCUGCUGUUAUUCUUAUCAUAAAAUCUUCCAAGUAAUCAACAUGAACAUUCUUUUUUAGAAUGGUCAGCAACUUCAGUAUAAAUUGUUAAAUUGCAUUUGCCAUUGAAAUGUUAAAGACAAGAAAAUGUGUAACUAAAUUAGACACUAUAUUCUUAAUGAUAUUCAUCCAGUAAUAUUAUUUUAAUACAGCUGGUGAUGGAUAUAUUAAAAUGGAGUCCAUAAAUAUAAACUUUUCAUGCUGUUGGAAAGCUGAUUGAGAUACUUGAGAUGACUUAAGUCACUAAUUUUAUUAAAUCUUCCCUUUCUCUCCUGCAUUAGUAAGCAUAAAUUGUAAGUCUGGGUGGUGAUGCAAAGAUUGGCAUCAGUCCAUGCCUUCCAUUAAGAUUGCUUGUCGGUUGUAGUGCAGGUAAAUAGAUGAAGUGUUUUCACCAUGAAACAUUUUCCCUUGCAAGGAUUAACUACUCAGUUACUUUUGUAUCUAUAGAAUCAAUGUCCAAGACAGAACCUAAUAAAGCUUAGGAGCAG
This is a long non-coding RNA of Stegostoma tigrinum, 1882 nucleotides long. RefSeq lists it as uncharacterized. The transcript is spliced from 6 exons. NCBI's taxonomy places the organism in Eukaryota, Metazoa, Chordata, Chondrichthyes, Orectolobiformes, Stegostomatidae. The record is from RefSeq and is a predicted model, not a curated record.